RNAcentral lists this long non-coding RNA (18379 nucleotides) under Vitis vinifera (wine grape). Its description in RNAcentral is "long non-coding RNA (VVIN_LNC002519)". Lineage: Eukaryota; Viridiplantae; Streptophyta; Magnoliopsida; Vitales; Vitaceae. The record is from RNAcentral.
AAGACAAGCAUAAUAUAGUGAACAUAAGGGCUAUUGGGAGAUGGUAGCGACUGAUGGUGCCAGCGAUAAAGAUAGGGGUGCGGAGUGGGGCUUAGGCUUGAAUAAUCAUCAAGUUCUCAGAGGUGAGAAGGAGGAGGAAUGGGAGGAAAGCGAACUGGAAAAAUUCAGUCUCUUUUUGGGCUUUUCGACCGAGGGUCUGGAACAGGAAAUCCUGGAUUUUUUUAUUAAAAUUAGAAAAAGAAGGGAGAGAAUUCAUGGGAAGGCGCUGCUAGAAAAGUCUAAGUUUGAAAGAGAACUAAAGAGGCUGGAGUGUUCAGUGAACUAUGAGAAGGGAAGAAAGCAGAGAGACCCUUCACAGGGUAAAGGGUGUCAAAUUACAGUGGUUUAAUGAAGCUAAAAUUGCUGAGUUGGAAUGUGAGGGGAGUGAACGAAAAAGAGAAAAGAAAAAUUAUCAAGACGUUCAUAAGAAAUCAGAGGGUGGACCUGAUGUGUAUCCAGGAAACAAAGAUCCAACAAAUGACGGAGGAAGUGGUGAGAAGCUUAGGCUCGGGGAGAUUCUUAGAUUGGAGGGCCUUGGACGCUAGUGGGACUGCGGGAGGUAUUCUGAUAUGUUGGGAUAAAAGGACGUUGGAGAUUUUGGAGUGGGAAGAGGGCCAAUUCUCCUUAUCUUGCAGAUUCAGAAAUGUAGAAAAUGGUACUAUUUGGGUAUUCACGGGGGUUUAUGGGCCUUUUACAAAAGUCGAUCGGGAGUGCCUGUGGGAAGAGAUUGGGGCGAUCAGAGGUCUAUGGGAAGACCCGUGGUGUGUUGGGGGUGACUAUAACAUUACCCUGUUCCAAAGAGAAAGGAGCAGGCAAGGAAGAAUAACCUCAGCUAUGAGGCGUUUUGCUCAGAUUGUUGAUGAAGUUGGGCUGAUGGAUAUUCCGCUGCAAGGGGGAGUGUUUACUUGGAGUGGGGGCUCUAACAAUCAGACUUGGGCUAGGCUGGAUAGGUUCUUGGUGAACUCUAGCUGGCUUGAUCAGUUCAGUGGAGUGCUUCAACGGAGACUGCCUCGGCCUCUUUCUGAUCACUUUCCGGUUGUAUUAGAGGGUGGUGGCCUGAGAAGAGGGCCCUCUCCAUUCAGAUUUGAGAACAUGUGGCUUAAGGUGGAGGGAUUCCAAGAUUUGGUUAGAAGCUGGUGGUGGGAGAUUGAGGUGAGAGGUAGUGCUAGUUUUAGACUAGCUACAAAGCUGAAGGAAAUUAAACAGAAUUUGAAAGUUUGGAACAAGGAGGUGUUCGGGAACUUGGGGUGUAAUAAAGCAGCAGCUUUGCAACAAGUGGAAUUAUGGGACCUUGUGGAAAGUGACAGAAUUUUGUCAAUGGAGGAAACAGAAUUAAAAAGGAGGCCAAGGAAAACUAUAAAAAAUGGGUGCUGUUGGAAGAAACGCAUUGGAGACAAUUAUCAAGGGAGAUUUGGCUAAGGGAAGGGGACAGAAAUACGGGCUAUUUCCACCGUAUGGCAAAUGCAAAGCGCAGUAACAAUUAUAUGGACAGAAUUAAGAUAGACGGGUGUGUCUUUCUGAGGAGCAGGAAAUGAGGGAAGGAAUUGCAAGUGCCUAUCAGCAGAUGCUGUCAGAGGGGUCGGGAUGGCAGGCUGACAUUGGGGGGCUGCGCCUAGAUCAGAUCAGCCACCAAGAAGCAGAAAAUUUGGAAACCCCUUUUUCUGAGGCGAAGGUUCAUUCAGCUUUGAUGGAGAUGAAUGGGGAUAAAGCCCUGGGGCCGGAUGGUUUUACAGUAGCCUUUUGGCAAAGUUGUUGGGGCUUUGUUAAAGAGGAGAUCUUGGCAAUGUUUAAGGAAGUCCAUGAGCACAACACUUUCCUCAAAAGCCUAAAUAAUACAUUCCUGGUCCUAAUCCCUAAGAAAGGAGGGGCGGAAGAUAUUGGGGACUUUAGACCUAUAAGUCUUUUGGGGGGAUUGUAUAAAUUACUGGCUAAAGUCCUAGCUAAUAGGCUGAAAAAAGUGAUUGGGAAGGUGGUGUCCCCUGCUCAGAAUGCUUUUGUGAUGGGAAGACAGAUCCUUGACACCUCCCUAAUUGCAAAUGAGGUGAUAGACUUGUGGCAAAAAAGAAAAGAGAAGGGGGUCAUUUGCAAAUUGGACAUUGAGAAAGCUUAUGACAGUAUGAAUUGGCAGUUCUUAAUGAAAGUUCUACAAAAAAUGGGAUUUGGGCCAAAGUGGAUGGGGUGGAUGUGGAGUUGCAUAUCUUCAGCAAAAUUUUCAGUCUUAGUGAAUGGGGUUCCUGCUGGUUUUUUCCCGAGUUCUAAGGGGCUUCGUCAAGGAGAUCCCCUAUCUCCUUACCUCUUCGUAAUGGGAAUGGAAGUAUUGGGGGUUCUUAUUAGGAGAGCUGUUGAAGGGGGUUUCCUGUCAGGUUGUAACAUUCGGGAGGGAGGAAGGACAACUUUGAACAUUUCGCAUUUAUUUUUUGCAGAUGAUACGAUAGUUUUUUGUGAAGCUAAAAAGGACCAUCUAAGUCAUUUAAGUUGGAUCCUCUUUUGGUUUGAAGCGGUCUCGGGGCUAAAGAUUAAUCUGGGUAAAAGUGAAAUCAUCCCGGUGGGUGAGGUGGAGGAUAUUGAGGAAUUGGCAGCGGAGAUAGGAUGUAGGGUGGGAUCUUUGUCGUCCCAGUAUUUGGGUCUACCCUUAGGGGCUCCUAACAAGGCCUCCUCGGUGUGGGAUGGAGUAGAAGAAAGAGUGAGGAGAAGACUUGCGCUUUGGAAAAGGCAAUUUAUCUCUAAAGGUGGCAGAAUCACUCUGAUUAAAAGCACCUUGGCCAGCAUACCCAUUUAUCAAAUGUCUCUUUUCCGGAUGCCGAAGAUUGUGGUUAGAAGGCUAGAAAAAUUGCAAAGAGACUUCCUAUGGGGAGGGGGAAGUAUGGAGAGGAAAAUUCACCUAGUGAAUUGGGAGAUAGUGUGUGGAGAAAAAGAGAGGGGUGGGCUUGGUUUGAGGAAGCUUGGCCUAUUGAACAGAGCUUUGCUUGGAAAAUGGAUAUGAAGGUUUGCUUGUGAAAGAGAGAAUCUUUGGAAGCAGGUGAUUGUGGCAAAGUUUGGGCAAGAAGAUGAUGGAUGGAAGCCUAAUGGGGCGUUUGGGGUAGGGGUGUGGAAGGAGAUCAUGAAGGAGACUGAUUGGUGCUGGGAUAAUAUAGAGUUUAUGGUGGGGAAGGGUACUAGAAUCAGAUUUUGGACUGAUGUGUGGUGUGCGGGCUCAGCGCUGUCCCAAACCUUCCCGCACCUUUUUGUCUUGGCUGCUCAUAGGAAUGCUACGGUGGAGGAGAUGUAGGAUCAGAGUUCGGAUCAAGGAGGUUGGAAUCUAAGAUUUUUGAGGAAUUUUAAUGACUGGGAGGUGGGUAUGGUAGGAGAUCUGCUCCUUAAGCUGAGAGGGUUUAGGCCUUCUUUGGAGGAAGAUUCGGUCUCUUGGAAGGGAGGAAAAAGCGGUAAAUUCAAAGUAAAGAAAGCGUACAGCUACUUAGUCAAUCCUAUGGACACCGUUUUCCCGGAAAAAUGCAUUUGGGUGGAUAGAGUACCUACCAAGGUCGCUUUCUUUGCGUGGAAGGCUACAUGGGGGAAGGUGUUAACGCUUGAUAGACUUCAGAGAAGAGGAUGGCAACUCCCUAACUGCUGCUUUUUGUGUGGUUGUGCAGAAGAAUCUGUAAAUCAUGUCCUUAUUCACUGUAUAGUGACUAGAGCCCUUUGGGAGUUAGUCCUUGGGCUUAUAGGUGUUAAGUGGGUCUUUCCAGAAUCUGUAAAGGAGGUCUUGUUUAGCUGGAAAGGUCACUGGGUGGGAAAAAAAAGGAAAAAGAUUUGGAAGGCCAUCCCGUUAUGCAUAUUUUGGACGGUUUAGAAAGAAAGGAAUAGGUUAGCCUUUAAAGGGGGUGUGAUACAUAGACAGAAGCUAAAGAAUUUUUUUGUUUGUAAUUUGUGGGGUUGGGCUAGAUUGGAUAUUGGAGAUAACUCUCUCUCCCUUCUAGGCUUUCUAGAGUGGCUAGCUGCCACUUAGGGGAGGUGAGGUCUUCUUGGUCCCUUUUGUUUUUUGGUUGUGAGGCUUUAGCUGCCUUGUAUAUCUCCUGUAUACUGUGUGGCUAUUGGCCUCUUUUUUAAUAUACAUUGACGUACUUAUCAAAAAAAAAAUAAUAUAGUGAACAUAAACAUUUGACUACAUUUUCACAUUAUAGUUAAAUCUAACAUUGAAUUUCCUAACUCACCUUUGUAUGCCAGGAUAUAUUAGAAACAAUUUUAAAACAUGUCAGAGAUAUUACCUUUGUCAUGGCGCUCAAGCCUGACUUGGAAGACACAUAGGCUACUCCUCCAGGUAACUGUCCCCGAUUAAGAGCAGCAAUGGAAGAAAUAUUGAUGAUUGAUCCUCCAUUCUUGGCAUCCCUCAUGCGCAUACCGACAUAUUUUGACACCAACCAUGAUCCCGUCAAGUUUGUCUUCAGAGUAUUAUUCCAUUCCUCCUCAGAUAUAUCCAGAGGAGAGUUCACAUUGCCUAAGGCACACAGGGCACAGGGCAUGGGUUAAAUACAUCUACCACGCAUUACGUUCACAAAUAUUAGCAGAACACCAGAGAUAAAUUAAAUGAGUAAUAUUGAUAAGAAAAAUAUAUGUGAUUGACUCGGUAUAGAUACCCAGUUGACUCGCUAAUCUUUUUCAUUAAACAAAUAGUUUCAAAUUUCAGUUCGAACUGAAUGAAAUGAAACGUGCGCUAGAAUUGAAAGUAUGAGAAAAACAAGGUUUCCAAAAGCCAGCUGCAAAACGGGAAAUUCAGGAUACAGGAAUAUCAGGAUCGUGCAAAACCCCAUAAAUUCAAAAAUUGAAAACCAUGAAACGAGAAAUCAGGUAAAUUAAUACUAUACCCUACAUAUUCACCCCUUAGAUGAUUGAAAUUUUAAUUUCGUUUCUUCAUUCAGAUUUCGCGUGAACCAAACGGCAGGUAGAAGUGCUCAAAGAAAAAAAAAUCAAAAUUGCCUCAGUCCGUUGCAUUCCUAAAAUAUCAGAACCUCAUCAACCACAAGAUUCCAAAUUCCCUUUCCUUUUUUCCAAACAGAAACUAAACUCUUUUCCAAAGUCAAAUCAAAAUUUACCUCUAAUGCCCGCAUUAUUUAGCAAAGCAUCGAUACGUCCAAAGGCCUCCCAAGCCUUCUGAACGGAGGCGCCGAUUGAGGAGCCAUCGCUGGUGACGUCAAGUUCGACUGCUACGGCUCGGAGAGGCGGAUCAGCGUUUGGAGGAAGGUUCGAGUGGGUGAGGUUGUUGAUCUCGUCGCAGAGAGACUUGAGUCGGUCAACUCGGCGGGCGGCCGCCACGAUCUUGCAGCCGGCUUUGGCGAGGUUGAGGCAGAACUCGCUGCCGAGACCCGAGGAAGCGCCGGUGACCAUGACCACCUUGCCCUCCAGGUCUUGCCAUGGCUCGAGGUGGUUCGCGACUUGGGACGCCAUCAAUGUGGUUGAGAGUCUCUAGAGAAAGUAGGCACCAGCUUUUAGAGGGAAAAAAAGUAAAGCAAAGAAAAUUUGAUAAGAUGAAAAUAAAUAAUAAAUAAUUAAAAGGGGAAAUAAACUCCUCUAUAUAUUCUAUUGCGACAUUGCGUGAUCAAAUUCCAUUUGUUUAUGUAUCGCCUUUGUAGUGAAUCUAGUGAUGAUGCCAUCGGAUUGUUUGCAGUGAAUUGUCGGAAUUGUUUUUAGUCAUUCUAAUAAUUAAAAAUAAAAAUUUUCAAAUAUUAAAAAUUAAAAAAUUUUAAAUAUUAAAAAUGUUAAAAACGCUUCCUAUAAUAAUUGUUAAAUAGACUCUAAGAGUAUAUUUGAAAGUAAUUCUAAAAAAUAUUUUUAGUAUUUUUAUUAAUGUGUUUUUAAGUAUUAAAAAUAUUAAAAAUACUUUCUAAAAUCACUAUCAAACUAAAAGUGCAUUUAAAAGUAAUUUUAAAAAAUAUUUUUAACAUUUCUAAUACUUAAAUAAUAAAAAACUUCAAGUGUUAAAAAAAUUUAAAACAUUCCAUAAAAUCACUACCAAAUAGAGUCUAAGUUUGUGAAGGGAUCAACACUUAAUAAGUCAUAUUUUAUUAUACAUCUUUCUAAAAUUAGUAUUAAGAAACCAAUUUUUCAGUGUCCAAUAAUUUUCCCUAUUGGUAUAAUUUUCUAAUUACGUAAAAUAAAAAUGGUCAUCAAGGGAAAAUAAUUUUUGAGAACAAACUUUUGCUUAUGAUUUUUUUAUUAUUACUCAAAAAGAGCAUAUUUUAUAUAAUAAUUAUCACGAAUUUCAUAUCUUUUGAGUAGUAACUAUACCUAAAACACUCAAUUAACAUGUUUUUACUUUUGCAAGAAUUACUAAAAAGUCUUAUGAAGUUUUGGGGUAAUUUCAAGGUAUGUUUUUUAUAAAUAGGUGACAAAAGAGAUGAAUCAAAUUAAAGAAAACAAAUAAAGUUGAUGAUGAUCCAAAUGCAUAAUGAAAGAGGCAAUCCAAUCAGUUUGGAUUGGGAUUUGGAGGUAGUUGAAGUGGAAUCAAAAUGAAGAAAUGAGAGAAAUUGCAAAAAGAAGUUGAAAAACCAUGUUUUUCAAUUUCACAUAAACACGAGAAAAAUUCGCACAGUCAUGCAAAUUGAAAUAGAAUGGACUUUGGCUGCAGCACACAAGGGGAAAAGUGAAAAUUGAUUUCGCAUGACCAUACGAAACGCUCCAAGAAGACGAAAAUGGUGCUGAUGGAUUUUCCACUUCGCACAAUCGUGCGAAAUUGUUGGAGCUCAUGCGAAAUUGUUGGAGCUCGUGCGAAAUUGCAUCUUUUCCAAAUUUCUUGAUGAAAAAGUCUCCGGAAGACCUUUUAGAUGAUGCCAAGUGUCCACUUGACCUUGGCCUAUAAAUAGAAACUUGAUUUACUCAUUUAGGGAUUUUUGAUACAUUUCCUAAUUGUAGAAUUUUCCAAAUUUCUUCUCUCUAUAUAAUUCUCUACUUUCCUUCAUUUUCUCUCAUUUUCUCGGUAGCCAAACAUGUCUUGUGAGAUCAAAUCUCAAAGUAUGAGUGGCUAAAUCUUGUUUUUCUUGGAAGAGAAAGGAUAUAGAGAUAAGAUCUAUGGUGAAUUAGAGAAAUGAGAUUAAAUUGCAAAGGUAAUUUGAUCCAAUUGAUUGAUUAAUUGAAAUUUUGAGAUUUUUCUCUUCAAAUUGUCUUGGAUGAUUACGACAAUGUAAGUUAGGUACAUUCAUCAAAUUCUUAAAGUUAGAUUUGAUGAGAUUGAAUAGUUACAUUGUGUGAAUCAUUGGCAGAUAAUUUAAGAUGAAUUGAAUAUAUGAUUUGAAUUGAUCUCUUAGAUUAAACGACCUAAUUUGAAGAGAAAUUAGAUCUAAACCUAAAGUCAAAUCAAAAAUCGGUUUAGAUGAAAAUUUAGGUUUUCAAUCUAACUUGAUGAAAAUUAGAUCUCAACAUCUAUUCACCAUGGAAAUUGUUUUCUAGAAAAUCCUAACUCCGAGAAUUUUAUCUCCUAUUAAUUUUCUUUUAUUUUACAUUUUAUUUUUCUUCUCAAUUUUAGACCAUUGUCAAAUUAAUUUUUCAUCAUGAAUUUUCAAAUCAAUUUCACUUGAUCACAAUCAUUUCUUAUCCUUUCAUUCAAGCCUUAAUUACCGAGAAUAAUCCAUCCUAGUGGACGACACCUAAAAACCACUAUAUUACAGUAGUUUGUACUAAAAUUGUUUUUAAUCGGGUACAAUCUACUUUAGAAUAGUGAAUUAGGUUAUAAAUUUUGUUUUGAUCAAAUAAAUGACAAAAAUCUAAGCGAUCAAUUUUGUAUAUAAAAAAUAAUUUUUUUCACUUAUUCUCGAUAAAACUUAUAAUGUAAAAGUUUUCAAAAUAUUUUUUUAAUAUUUUUUCUUUAUUUUUUGAAAAAUUUUGAUAAAUAAAAUAUGAAAAUACUUUUAAAUUAUUUUUAAAAUAACCUAUUUUCACAACAACAUUUUGAAAAAAACUUUUUUUAUUUUCUCAAAAUUUGGUCAAAUAUAUUCUCUAAGUUGGAGAGUGUCUAAUAUCCUUGUAAAUGUAUUUGGACAAAGUUUUGGAUUUUUAUUAUUUACUUUUGCUUUUAACAGCAAAACUCACUUUAAAAAUCCAAAAAAUAAAAUGAGUUUGGAAAACAAAAUCCAAACUUUAAUCAAAUUUAAAUCCUUUAAUUUUCUCAUUUGUUAAAAGAAUCUCAUAUUUUAUGCCAUUGAUGAAUAAGAAAAAACUUCUUACAUCUCUUAUAAGAAUCAUCUAUCAAUAUUUGAGUAUAUUUUUUUUUAGUGAUGCAUGGUGUUAAUUGAUUGAACUAAAAUUGUAUAAUAAAACCUGUCAAUAGGGAUGACAAUUUAGACACGACACGAUAAUGCAAUUUGAAAAUGAUUGGAUUGUUAAUGUGUUUGGGUUUGCAUGUGAUUGUGUUGUGUCUUAAUAAACAUGUCUUAUUUGGGUUUUCAUUAUUCACCUUGUUUAUGAUUUAUUUGCUUAAUUGUAUCAAAAUAAUUUAUUUAAUCCAUAUAAAUUUAAUAAUUUUAUACAUUCCAAUUAUAAAAAUAAUAAAUACUUUGUUAAUUAUAAAUAUCAUAUAGUAAAAACAUUAAAUAACUAAAUAAAAUUACAUUUGAUUAGUAAGAUUAAAAAUAGUUUAUAGUUAAAAUUUUAAAUAAAAUAAUAAGUAAAUGUAAAAAUUAAAAUAUUAUCCUACUUUUUAUAUUAUGAUCAAAAUUAAAUAAUUACAUUAAUUAAGAUUAAAAAUUAAAGCAAAUGAAAAGUAUUUUAGAAUAAUAUAUUUAUAAAGUUAAAUUCCAAAAUAGGUUAAACGGGUUAUAAUCAUGUUAACUAGUUAAAAUCAUACUAAUGGAUUAUUAUGUCCGAUUUAACCCAUUUAUUAAAUGAGUUAAAUGGGUUGUAUUGAGUUACCUAUAUAAUAAAUGAGUUGUGUUUAUGUUGAAUGUUUCCGACAUGAUUAUUAAAUAAGUCAUAUUUAAAUUAAAUAAAUUUUUACUAUUUUUUUUUUACUUUGAAGACAUUGCCAUCCCUACUUGCUCACAUGCAUUUAAACAAAAAAAUCUUGUAAUUUUCUCUCCAAUCCUUAUCAUUUUUCCCAUCGGCAAGUUCCCUAUUAGGAAAAGAAAUUCCUUGUAUACAUCUCUCAUCCCCAUUCAUGGUCUUUGAAUUCAUAUUUAAAAUUUUCAAAUAUAUAUAUAUAUAUAUAUAUAUAUAUAUAUAUAUAUAUAUAUAUAUAUAUAUAUAAACUAAUAUAUUUUAUAGUGAAUAUGAUAAUUUUUAAAAAAAUAAAUAAAUAUAAAAUUAUAUAUAAAGAAAUAUAUUUAAUAUUAUAUGUAUAUGGUUUGGGUGGGUUUUGGAUAGGGAAUAGUUUCAUUUCCCUGGUCGAGGUUCCCCAUCCCUAAUCCGACUCCAUUAGGGAUGGAUUCCCCAGGGGCACAACUUGGCUGGUUUUUUAUGCCAUCCUUGCUGGAGGGUGGGUUGGGAACUGUUGCCCAAAGCAUGGCCCAUGGGCCCCAACAUUGGCAAAAUCUUGAAACCCUUUAAGAUUAAGCUUGUUAUCUGUUUAUGUAUAUGUGCCGCCAUUUAGAUUGCAGGCCUAAAAAACUUAUAUAGUUUAUGAAGACAUGACCCAACAGGCCCAUCGGGCCACUUGUAUUCCUCUUUAACUUGACACCAAAAGCGCAUUUGGUCGGGUUGAGCUUCAUAUUGUAUGCUUUCAUUAGGCAAAAUGUUUCCUCUAAGUGUAGGACGCGUUUGCUCUGGGUUUUGUUUUUUACCACAAUAUCAUCAAUAUAGACUUCUACGGUUCGGCUGAUCAAGGGUUUGAAGAUUUUUGUCAUCAACCUUUAAUAAGUGGUUCCAACAUUCUUAAGCCCAAAUGGCAUAACCCUAUAGCAGUAUAAUCUGUGCAGCAUCACGAAGGCGGUUUUCUUUUCAUCCGGUUGGAACAUCGGGAUCUGGUGGUACCCGGAGAAUGUGUCUAUGAAAGAGAGCAUCUCAUACAUGGUAGUGGACUCAACUAUCUGAUCUAUUCGAGGUAGAGGGAAGCUAUCUUUCAGGCAAGCAUCAUUCAGGUUGGUGUAAUCAACACAGACUCGCCACUUUCCUCCUUUCUUUGGAACAACCACUACAUUCGCCAACCAAUCCAGAUAUUAUACUUCCUUGAUAAACCCGAUUGUCAGCAACUUGUCCACAUUGAAUUGGAUGAUCUUUUGCUUGUCUGGAUGGAAGCGUCUGACUUUCUGGCAAACGGGUCACGAGGAAGGUAUGAUAUUGAGUCGAUGUAAGGCUACCGAUGGAUGGAUUCUGGGCAUAUCAAAGUGAGUCCAUGCGAAAACAUCCUUGUUCUACUAAAGCACUCCUUCGAGUAAUUUUAAUUCUUUUAGUGCUAGGAGAGAGCUAGCAUAGGUAACACGAUCACUGCUACCUGAGAGAUGCAAGGGUUGGAGCGAGUCUGCUGCUGACAGAUCUUUUUUCGUCAGGCUCUGUAAUUGCUAUUGCUCCUUCGUAUUUGUCAGUCUCGUGUGUGGCUCACUGUUGCUUGGGAGUCCGAAAUUGAGUACCGCUUGAUAGCACUAGCACGUAGCCAACUUACUACCAUAAAGGUCGAUUUGUCCGUCCUCGGUGAGGUAGCUUACCAUCUGAUGAUACGUAGAGGGAAUGACUUUCAUGUUGUGAAGCCACGUGCGCUCCAUGAUGGUGUUAAAAUGGGAUAAGUCCUCUACUAUCGAGAACUGCACAUUCUGGGUGAUCAUACCAACUUGGACGGGUAAUACGAUGUCACCUAAAGACGUUGUCGUUGUCCCAUUGAACCAAAUAAUAUCUGUUUUGGGUUUUCUAGGGCAAUCGGCAGGAGUCUCAUUUGUUUGUAUGACGACAUUUGCAAGAGGUCAACUGAGCUGCCCAGAUCAACCAAAAUCCUUCUUACAUCAAACCCAUUUAUCCCUAAUGUUAGAACUAGGGCGUCUUCAUGUGGUUGUAGUACUCGGUUGGGGUUUACUGGAGGGAAGGUUAUUAUCCCGUCCAUUAGGCAUGCACCUUGAUUACUACUCAAAAAGUGUUAUUUCAUAGCUUGUAAUUAACUCUUUUAAACACUUUUGAGUAGUAGUUAUUGCCUUUUAACCCAAUUAACAUGUUAAGGACCCUUGCAAUCACUUCUAAUCAAUUUGUGUUAAGUUUUGGUGUUUUGAUAGCUUUUUUAUCACCAAAGCAAUCCGAGAUUGAGGAGAGUUAUUUGGAAUCUAUGGCAAAGCAAUGGAAAGCUCAGAAACAUGAAGAACCAAAGCUUUGAAGUCCUUUGUCAUAAGCAAAUCCGGAAUGCAAGGAGGAGAAGCAAAGAGAAAUCUGCCAUGAAGCAUUCUUGAUGAUAGCCAUGUCAGCCACUUUUAGAGCACUUCCUGAAGUCUAAUUUAUGCAUGCUAUAUGUCGUUUCGAAGCUCAGGAAGUCAACAAUCCAAUGCUUCAAAUGGUGUUCAAUUUGGAGUUGAAAUGAAGGAAUUACAGCCAUUACAAGUUGAUCACUCUAAGUUGAAGGAAGAAUUUUGCACAGCGCUGCGAAAUCACCCUUUUGUUGCGAGAUGAUUUCGCAGCCUUUUUGUACAGUGCUGUGGAUUCUCCCCUGAAGUUUCCCGUCACAAUGGAAGCCGAAUACCGCAAGCUGAAAGCCAACUUCGCAGCGCUGCGAAAUCAGCCUUUUGCUGCGAAGUGAUUUCGCAGCCCUUUUUGUGCUUCUACGAAAUCUCGUAGACCUCGUUUUCACCUGCGAAAUGGUCCUUAGUGCUUCCCGAUAUUUGUGACCGACACUUUUGGAUAUUUUGCUUCAGAUUUUUGAUAACUAAAUCCUCAUUUUCUCCUUGUAACCCACCAAUUAUAGGAUUUCUUAGUUAUUAAGUUUGGCAAAGGGGUGAAUAACCUUAGAUAUUUUGUUUUGUAAUUUUCUUUAUAUAUAGCUCUCGGGAGCUUGUUCUUAUAUAGAAUUAUGUAAUCCGACGGGAUAUAGAUUUAUAAAUAUAUAGAAUAUACAGAGCCUUGCUCUGUUUUUUCUUUCUCUUUCAUUUUCAUUUUCUUGCUAAUCAAACUCUGAAGAUUUUUCCUCAGAUGAUGAGAGGCUAGGCUCUUCGUCUCUUGGAGCUAAGGUAACCGGGUAAGUUUUCCACAUGCAUAAAUUGGAAGUUUUGUUGUUUUAGUUUUUAAUGAAGAGAAAGUGUGACCCGUUAAUGGUUUUUAUCUUUUUAGUUAACUUAAAACGCCUUUAAUUCACCUGAGCCAACACUUGGUAAGGCAAGUGAUCUCCGUCCAUGGAGAUGCACUAGUUUAUCUCUUGCGAGCUUUUGGUAGGUGGUUUGAAGGUAGGAUUUUCUAGAAUAGCCAACACUUGUUAAGAUUUUGGACUCCAAUGAGACAUCCAUUAGUUAUCUCUUGCGAGCUUUUGAUGGGUAAUCCAAGGUUAAAGAUCACCUUGAAUGACAAAUGCUAGGUGAGAGGCACGAGUCAUUGCAAGGUGCAUCAAUGAGAGGGAUUUAGUGUUUGAACCCAUUAAUGGGAAGUAUCUGUACAACACUGGUUAGAGAAUUAACUACAUGUUAAUUCUCUAAUGCGAGGAAAAGAAACAAGUGACCAGAACUCUCCUUUUUGUAUGAGGAAUCUGAGCCUAGUGAUCUGAAACUCCAAGAAACACUUUUCUUUGUAAGUAAAAUCAGUUGCUAUUUUUGGUUAGUUUAAAACCAAACUUUUUUCAUUCAAACAUCUUUAUGUUUUCUUUUAAAGCUAACCUUGAAAUGAAAAGGCACCAAUUCAGCUUUGAAUUAAUAUCAUUUGCAAAGUGAAAACCCAUCCCAGUGAACGAUCCUAGAGCCACUAUGCUAUAAUAGCUUUGUCUUUGCUAUCCUAGUAAAUGGUGUAAUAGGUUAUAAAUUUUGUUGAUUACUCCCUCAAUCAAGGAGCACCAGCUGGACACGAAUCAACUGAGACACCAAUUGGGCAUGAAUCACACCUUCACUCGGCAAACUAUGUUGGAUAGAGCUAACCUACUCCCUCACGAAAGCCACUCGUAGCAAUCUUUGUCUCUUUUGUUUGGAAUUGUAUUUUUCGUCAACGAGACCCCCAUGAAUGUAGUUGAUGAUAGCUCUAAGAGCUUCCGAAGUUGUGGACACUUGGAUAGCCAAAUCCCGGGUGGUUUCCCUUUGUCCUUCGAUUGAGCGGAUGUAUCAUUUUAAGUGCUUGGCCUUAAUUAGUCUUUCCACUAAGUAGUGGAAACUUCUGCAUUGUUUCGUGGUGUGGCCAUGAUCUUUGUGAUAGGCACACUUCCUGUUCUAAUCCCGUUUCGUCGAAUCUGUCUUAAUUGACUCUGGCCAUCUAAAAUCAGACAGAUCACAAAUCAUGGGAAGGAGUUUGUCGUAUGAAAUGCUAAGGGGGGUCAGACUAGCUUGGCUUGGCUGCUGCUGGUCGUCUCGCUUCUUGCUGACUUGCCUUAGUUGGUUUGAGAGCUUAGAAUUUUCGGCAUGAUCGUUCCUGGCGGAUCGACGAGUGACCAGGACCUGCUGUGUAGUCUUACAAACAUCGUCUUCAAGAUGGAGUACUUGUUUACUCGUUUGAAUAGGUCAUCCAUUGUCGCUGAUAGUUUCUUAACGAGAGAUUCGAAGAAAUGCGUACUCGGACAAAUGCUUCUUUUGAAGAUUUGUAGGAUGACGUCCAUGCUACAAGACUCUACUUGGAGCACGACCUGUCCGAACAGUUUCACAAACUCCCUCAAUGAUUCAUUUUCCUACAUUUUUAUGUUUUGCGGGGUACUUAUGUUCUAUUUGUCAUGCCGAGCAUAGGUAGUGUCCCACAAAGGCUUCUGAUAGAUCCUAGAAAUUACUCACAAAAUUCUUUAGGAGAUGGUGGAACUACGAAAGGGCCUAGCCAUGUAAGCUAGUUGGAAAGACUUUGCAUAAUAGCACAUCGUUCCCUAUGUUGAGGGUCAUGAGCUGCCUAUAAUGCAUGAUAUGAUCAAACAGAUCACUUGUUUCGUCAUAUGUCAUGAAUUUUGGUACCAUGAACCCUCUUGGGGGCUAGUAGUUGAUGAUGUAAAGGCUAAAAAGCAUGGAGAGCAUGUCACCCAAUCGUCUACUGACAGAGCCAAGCAGUCCUCGUUCUGUCAGAGCCCCUACUUGUUGUUAUGCUGGUGGACGAGAAGGCCAUUCUAGCAUGACCAUUGUAAUCGAGAAACCAAGGCAGGCUUCCUGGGUCGCUGCUACACAUGGUUUCCCUUCCAUGCCAGGUGUCUGAGGUCUUAGCCGAGCUCACAUUGUGUCUGAUAGUUGUGACCUUCUAUCACACCUCUUUUUUGUGGAGAUGUGGGUAGAGUCAGAGCUUUCAUCUAACAGUGCUUGGCAAGUUGGUAGAAACUUUUCUUUAGGUCGUAUCUCCUGGCUACCAGAGAUGAACUUUGCGUCCCUAAGAAAUGACAUUUUUUCGUUUUGUUUGGAGUUUGUUCACUGGCUCUUAGGCUGUCGGCUACGAGGGGGGCUUGACGAAGACACCUGGAUGCGUAACACUUCAAUUUCUUCUCUAAGUCUCCUUGUCUCACAGAGCAAGGACUGUACCUGUCGUUUGCUCUCUUGUUGGCGUCUUUCCAUGUUUUCACACUAGUCGAAGUAGCCAUCGCUACCCAUGGCUGAUGAUCGGCUCCUUGAGGGCGUCGACAUUCUUAACAUUUCCCACAAAUAGCACCAAUGUUGAUGCGAGGUUAACUGGAGUCAGAUCCGCCUUAUGUUGUGCCACUGAGAGCUUUUACCCAGCAACAAGGGACUAAGUGAGCUUUUUCCCUACACAAAGGAUGUCCGGACAAGGUGUCUGAGCACGCCCCUCUGAAGCUUAAGUCAGACACAGGUAGGUUAGAGCUUAUAGGGAGAAAAUGAAUAAACUAGCUUAGGUGUGCAUACCUGGGUUAUGCUUUAGGAAGACUUUUUAUAGUGCUCAAGAGAAAGUUAAUGUAGUGCUGAGUAGAUACUUUGACCUUCACUGUAAUAAUGGUUAUCCUGCAGGUGGCAGAGCAAUCAUUGCAGUUUAGGGCAACUAGCAAGUUCCAUCAAAUGAUGUGUCAUAAUGUAGCUGCCCAUCAUUUCAACCUUCUGGAGAUAUGAGGCAAUGUGUGAUAAUUUGUUGACAUCAAGGAUGAAAAUAUCGGUAAUUACGGAUAUAUCGAUAUUUCGAUUUUACGGAUAUAUCGAUAUUUCGAUUUUACGGAUAUAUCGGAAAUAUAUCGAUGGAUAUUUUGAUAUAAAAUAUUAGUAGACCUAAAAUUGACCAAAACUUAUAAAAAUAUAAAAUAAAACUUUUAGAAAUGAAAUUAAAAUAUAAUAGAUAUUUUAAAAUUAUUUUAUUAAAUAAAUUAAUGUAUAUAUAAUAUUGUACGUGUCAAUAAAAAAAUAUAAAUUUGAUAAGUGUAUAUUGAUUAUUAAAUUAUAUUAAAUAUUAUUUGAUCAUUAUAUUGUGAUAUUUGAUUAUAAUAUAUUUCGAUGGAUAUUUUAACACAAAAUAUCGGUAAAUCUAAAAUUGAUCAAAACUUAUAAAAAUAUAUUAAAAAAAACUUUUAAAAAUAAAAUUAAAAACAUAAUAGACAUUUUAAAGUUAUUUUUUCGAAUAAAUUGAUAUAUAUAUAUAUAUAUAUAUAUAUAUAUAUAUAUAUAUAUAAUAUUGUACAUGUUAAUAAAAAAUAUAAAUUUGAUAAGUGUAUAUUGAUUAUUGAAUUAUAUAAAAUAUUAUUUGAUGAUAAUAUUGUGAUUAUAAUAUGUUUAAUUUUAAAAUCUGUUUAAUAUUAAAAUAGUGAUAUAUUAUAAAAUAAAUGAUAAUAAAUAUAUAAAAUAUUAAUAUAUUAAUAAUAUUAAAAACUCUAUGAAUAAAAUUAUGAUAUUUUUUACUAAUCAAUUAAAUGAAAAUUUUUCAUUUAAUUAUAAAAUAGUCAUAAUUAAUUUGUUAUUUAAAGUGUUUUUUUAAUAUUUUAUUUAUAUUCUAAGUUUUAAUAUAUAUUUCUUUAGAGUGUCAUAUUUAUCAAAGAGCAUGUUUGCCCUAGUGGAACUGGGCCUGACAUAGAAAUCUUUUGUUGGGGGUUCGAAUCCCCCCAACAGCAGGAAGAAAAAAAGCUUAAUUUUGACCGUUGACCGCCUGUGUUGACCGAGCGUUGACCGGCGAUAUAUCUCUGCUGCACCCACCGACACACCGAUAUUUCGCCGAAAUAUCGCCUAAUUCCAAAGGGAAUGAUUACACGUAGCAAGGGAGUUCCGAGCACUGUGGCAAUUAUCUGGACAAUGCUGAGGGAAGUGACGCAUGGACUGACACGUGGAAGGUCCCUACAAUUACUACUCCUCAUUCACGUCUACCAAACAGGCCUUUGGGAUGAAAAUUAUAUACGUCAAUUCCAAGUUUCCAACCCAACACAAUUAUAUUAUUCACCUAAAUCACACUAAACCCAAUUUCCAUUUUUUUGGUGCAUCCAACCUGGAAUAUGUACAUUUUAAUGUAAUUCCUGCACAAAUGAGAAAAGUGAAUAAGCCAUCUUCCUCGACAUUCUUCUUGUAAAUUGAAGAGCAAGAUUUAUUUAUUUAUUUAUUUAUUUGCAUUUUAAAAACCAAUGUGAAAUUUGUCUUUUGAUUUUGAGCAUCCAUGAUGCCGAUAUGUACAUUUCAAUUACCACAUGAAGCAGGAAGUUCAAUCUUAAAUACCGAACAUCAAGCAGAAACCACUACACCCAGUAGAUGUAGAUUUUAAUAUUCAAUGGGUUCAUUCCAAUUGCCACAUUAUUUUCAGCAACCAGAACUCAAAAAAAGCCACACAAAUAACACGAUUAUAAGGAUAUGGGGGAUCGGAUACCUUAUUUUAUUUCCCAGUAUAAUUUUGAGACAAUCAAAUUCUGAGCUGCAGAGUCUGAAAUCCAAUAAAGGAGCUUUGGAGUCUAUGGUGGUGUACCGGGAUGAACCAUCACCUUCCAAAUUAAAAUUCUAGGGCUAUACCACAAACAGAAUUCUGAGAUGUAUUGGGUAUUACAUGAUGAAUAACCCAAGAAAACUAGUACCGUAGAAGAGCUUCAAAGGGAAGAGAAAAUGGGAACACCCGGCAGGGUUGCGCCUGCAUCGACAUUGAAAACGUUACCUGAUAUGUAUCGUGAAGAAUCAUGAAUCAAGUAUCGCACCAGGGAUGUCAAUGCAGGGUCCGAUGUUCCAUAGGCCCGCAAGGGGCAUGUUCUCUGAACCACAGUGUUGAGCCAGUCUUUUUGCAUAAGGCCCGCAGUUAUCUCCGAUUUGAAUAUUCCAGGUGCUAUUGCAUUCGCUCUAAUAUUGUAUGCCCCCAAUUCCAAAGCCAUUACCUGGAAUUGUUAUUAUUUGGAAAAAAAAUAAAUAAAUAAUCAUUCUUCAGUGCCAGACUCAGAUGAGUGUGUAGGAAUAAAGGUUCUACAACAUUUUUGCAUGGAAAAACAGUUGAAGAUGGCAGGAAAUAUACAAUAAAAUGUCGAAUCGAAAUAAGUAUAAUGCUAUAUAAACACAAGCCCUUAACCAGAUUUACAGAAAAUGACUUACAUCUUGGAUAGACAAACUGUACGUAUCAUGCAAAAGCGGAGAAUAAUAUUGGGAUUUUUUGCAUGGGAAGCAAGGUGAGAAGAAUAUUGACUUUUUGUACAUUGAUUUUUAUCUUCUCUUUUUAUACAUUUUAUAUACUCCUCAUGCUUAUUAAAAAAAAAAAAAGACAAAAAUAAUAUUAAAAAUUAAAAAUAAAAUAACAAGACAAGCAUAAUAUAGUGAACAUAAACAUUUGACUACAUUUUCACAAUAUAUUUAAAUCUAACGUUGAAUUUCCUAACUCACCUUUGUUUGCCAGAAUAUAUUAGAAACAAAUUUAAAACAUGUCAGAGAUAUUACCUUUGUCAUGGCGCUCAAGCCUGACUUGGAAGACACAUAGGCUACUGCUCCAGGUGACUGUCCCCGAUUAAGAGAAACAAUGGAAGAAAUAUUGAUGAUUGAUCCUCCAUUCUUGGCAUCCCUCAUGCGCAUACCGACAUAUUUUGACACCAACCAUGAUCCCGUCAAGUUUGUCUUCAGAGUAUUGUUCCAUUCCUCCUCAGAUAUAUCCAGAGGAGAGUUCACAUUGCCUAAGGCACACAGGGCACAGGGCAUGGGUUAAAUACAUCUACCACGCAUUACGUUCACAAAUAUUAGCAGAACACCAGAGAUAAAUUAAAUGAGUAAUAUUGAUGAGAAAAAUAUAUGUGAUUGACUCGGUAUAGAUACCCAGUUGACUUGGUAUAGAUACCCAGUUGACUCGCUGAUUAGUUUCAAAUUUCAGUUAGAACUGAAUGAAAUGAAACGUGCGCUAGAAUUGACAGUAUGAGAAAAACAAG